CGCCUGCGCAGUGGGUGUGAUCCGGGCACUUGGGGCAGGAUGAACGCUGCUUUCCAAGAUGGCGACGGAGGGAGGAGGGAAGGAGAUGAACGAGAUUAAGACCCAGUUCACCACCCGGGAAGGUCUUUACAAGCUGCUACCGCAUUCGGAGUACAGUCGGCCCAACCGAGUGCCCUUCAACUCGCAGGGGUCCAACCCCGUGCGCGUCUCCUUCGUCAACCUUAACGACCAGUCUGGCAACGGCGACCGCCUCUGCUUCAAUGUGGGCCGGGAGCUCUACUUCUACAUCUACAAGGGGGUCCGCAAGGCUGCUGACUUGAGUAAACCGAUAGAUAAAAGGAUAUACAAAGGAACACAGCCUACAUGUCAUGACUUCAACCACCUAACAGCCACAGCAGAAAGUGUCUCUCUACUGGUGGGCUUUUCUGCAGGCCAAGUCCAACUCAUAGAUCCAAUCAAAAAAGAAACUAGCAAAUUAUUUAAUGAGGAAAGACUAAUAGACAAAUCCAGAGUAACCUGUGUAAAAUGGGUGCCAGGCUCGGAAAGCCUUUUCCUAGUAGCUCAUUCCAGUGGUAAUAUGUACUUAUAUAAUGUGGAACACACUUGUGGUACCACAGCUCCACACUACCAGCUACUUAAGCAAGGAGAAAGCUUUGCAGUCCACACUUGCAAGAGUAAGUCCACAAGAAACCCUCUCCUUAAGUGGACAGUGGGAGAAGGUGCCCUGAAUGAGUUUGCUUUUUCCCCCGAUGGGAAGUUCUUAGCAUGUGUGAGCCAAGAUGGCUUUCUCCGGGUAUUUAACUUUGAUUCAGUGGAGUUGCACGGUACAAUGAAAAGCUACUUUGGAGGACUACUAUGUGUUUGUUGGAGCCCAGAUGGGAAAUAUAUUGUAACUGGUGGAGAGGAUGACUUGGUGACAGUUUGGUCUUUUGUGGAUUGUCGAGUAAUAGCAAGAGGCCAUGGACAUAAAUCAUGGGUCAGUGUUGUAGCAUUUGACCCAUAUACCACUAGUGUAGAAGAAAGUGACCCAAUGGAAUUUAGUGGCAGUGAUGAGGAUUUCCAAGACCUCCUUCAUUUUGGCAGAGAUCGAGCAAAUAGUACGCAAUCUAGGUUAUCAAAAAGGAACUCUACAGAUAGUCGCCCAGUAAGCGUUACAUAUAGGUUUGGCUCGGUAGGCCAAGAUACACAACUCUGUUUAUGGGACCUUACAGAAGACAUUCUUUUUCCCCACCAACCCCUCUCCAGAGCAAGGACACAUACAAAUGUCAUGAAUGCCACAAGUCCACCUGCAGGAAGUGGUGGAACCAACCCAGGAAGCAAUGGAAACAGCAUCACAAUGCCUGGAAAUUCUGUGCCCCCGCCUCUUCCACGGUCCAACAGCCUUCCACACUCUGCAGUCUCGAAUGCCGGCAGUAAAAGCAGCGUCCUGGACGGUGCCAUUGCCUCUGGUGUCAGCAAAUUUGCAACUCUCUCACUACAUGACCGGAAAGAAAGACACCAUGACAAAGAUCACAAGCGAAAUCAUAGUAUGGGACAUAUAUCUAGCAAGAGUAGUGACAAACUGAACCUAGUUACUAAAACCAAAACGGACCCAGCUAAAACUUUGGGAACUUCUCUGUGCCCCCGAAUGGAAGACGUUCCCUUAUUAGAGCCUCUUAUCUGUAAAAAGAUAGCACAUGAAAGACUGACUGUGUUAAUUUUUCUUGAAGACUGUAUAGUCACUGCUUGUCAGGAGGGAUUUAUUUGCACAUGGGCAAGGCCUGGUAAAGUGCCAUCAAAACACUUCUCUAAUCAGGAGGACAGAAUACAAGACAUAAUUGAACUGGGCAGCGCCCUGGGACCUCCAUCCCUGAAUGCUUCAAUGCAGGAGUUCCAGGCCUACACUCACACAAGUCACCAUCAGAGGUACCACUGAGUAGUGGUUCCUGGGUUCUUGGAUCUGAGAGGAAAAGAGCUCCUAUAGAUUCUGAAGAGGUGUCAAAUUCUACAUUCCAAUUGGUAUUUGCUUCCUGGUCUUGUCUAGAUUAAAGGAUCUAAGUUACAGGAACCUAACUUUAAGGGUUUAUUGUCAUCCCAAAACCAGGCCAAUUCUCCAAGUGGAACUGUAGUGUAGCCAUCCCACUACUGCGAACAAAACCCACCCCAGGACAAGGAAUAAUGACAAGGGCACCAAGAGCUGCUCUCCUCAGCCACAAAGCAUCGACGUGUCUAAAAUGGCCGAAUGUAAACCUGGAAUUCUGGGGAACAUAGUGUGGUACAGAAGAGUAACGUCAUAGGUCCUUUUCCAGUGUUGUUUCCUUGGCUGCUUACCCAAAGAAUUUUCUGUUUUAAAGUAAUUCUUUUGGUAUUGCAGUUAAAAUGAGAAACUAGGUUUUCUUGCUUUUUACUUUAAAGUUCAAUGUAAUUAAAAUAUAUAUAUCAUAUAUAUAUGCAUAUAUAUAUAUACACAUACAUAUAUAUGUAUGUAUGUAUGUAUGUAUAUACAUAGUGUAAGAUAAAAUGUUUCUUGGACAAAAAUACCCUCAAGUUCAGUUGUUAUAAAAUAGUACUUAACCAUUGUUUGUUUUUUGCACUGAUUUUUUUAUACUUGAGGUGGUAAGACAACCUAGGAAUGCACUCAGAGAGUCAUUUUUCUGACUUCAAUAUAUAAUUCAGGAAGAUGGAUGCUGCAAUCAUAGAUUUGUUUUAAAAUUGCACUUAAGAUAGUUUAAUGUUAGUAGAGUACUUUAAAUAUGGGUAAAUGUACUUCCCAGCAAUGCUAAGUUGUGGAGAUAAGAAAUCCUUUGUAUCUAUUAAACCUUUAUUUUAAUAAUAAUGUUUCUAAUUACAAUCAGCUCUGUAUUAUAUGUAUAAAUGUAAUUUGGUGAUUGGGGAAAAUGGUUUUCACCUAGUAAUUUUCAUCAUCAUUUAAGAGUAUUUCUAACUUAGAAAAACAUUAAUAUUAAACUAUUUUAAAUAUGCAGCUUGUUUAUUUUCUGUUAAAUUGGCUCAGUUUUGAUGUAAUCAUUCUUUUGUUGAAUUAAAUGUCUGGUUAAUAAUUAUUUUAUUCCUUGAACACCUUGUCCUCUCCAGGCCUUUAAAUUUCAAUUUCACUGCGGCUAUUCAUGAAACUACUAAUACUAUACUGAAUUUAUUCUCUAGAACUCAGUCUCUACCUUCCUUCUGUUCUUUUCUACAAGGAUAAUUUUUUUUUAAAGGCCUUUGUGUGUUAUGACAUGGAAUCUUCAAAGUUUGUGUUUUUUAAGUUUACCAUUCAAUUCCUUUGACAACAUUAAUCCUUUUGUGCAAAGAUCUAUAAUCAUAGUUAACUUACAUAUGUCUUCUGAGGUCAAAAAUUAGAUUACAACUAUAAGGUCAAUUUGCAUUUGGAAACUUUACAGUAAUCUAAGCAUGAUUAAGGAUUAAGCAUAAAGGUGCUUUUCAUACUAAUCAAUCAAAUGUAAGAUGAUCCAAGAUGUCUAAUUAUUUCUCAGGUCUAAUUUUUUUUUCUUUUAAACUAAUUAAGUUGCAUACAAGUGACCCUUUAUCUCAGGUUCUCUCCAAACAUAUUUGUAUAACAUCCUCCAGAAAAACUGUCACUCCAGCAAUUGCCAAGUAGAAAAAUAUUUCUCAUUA
Molecule: RNA transcript, 3615 nt
Organism: Vombatus ursinus (common wombat)
Lineage: Eukaryota; Metazoa; Chordata; Mammalia; Diprotodontia; Vombatidae
Gene: WDR20
Gene name: WD repeat domain 20
Exons: 7
Source: RefSeq, a predicted model, not a curated record